UUUCAAGUUUAACCCUAGUCAAGCCAAAUCAAGAAAAGAAAAGAAAAAACAAUUGUAUUUUCUUUGAUGCAUUAUUUUCUUUCGUUUUUCGUUUCGGGUUGGAGUAAUUGUAGUGGCAUGUUUGUUUAUAAUGCUAUAUUGAGGGGAACAAAUUAUGUAAUCUUUAUGGCACGAUUGCUUCGUUUAGAAGAUGUGUAAAUGCUAUGGUUUAAGAGCUUGAUAUGGGGAGAGAAAAAGAAGAUGAUGUGGGGUUCUCUUGCUGCUUGGUCUAUAAUGUUAAUUUCAUUUUGUCUUGUGAAUUUGUCGAAAUGAAGUUUCUGGCACCAGCUGAGAUUUCAACUUUCUGCUGUUCUUUUUUGCUUUCCUGUUUCUUCUAUUCUCUUUUUCUUUCUUUUGUUGAAGGAUAGUACAAAAAGGAAAGGUGAAGAGAGCCGCCCUACUUUGUUAUCCCCUCUUGAACAAUCAAGGAAUUAUGUUCUCUUUGUGCUUUCCAUUGUUUACUUGGAAAUGGAGAUUUUGGGGGUAA
This 526-nucleotide unclassified non-coding RNA is filed under the name Hevea brasiliensis (rubber tree). Lineage: Eukaryota; Viridiplantae; Streptophyta; Magnoliopsida; Malpighiales; Euphorbiaceae. The record is from RNAcentral.